AUGGCCACGUCCACCUAUGACGUCUACAUGGUGGACACCCCGAAAGAAUAUGAAGGCACUCCCGGGAAGGAUAACGACAAACCCAGCGAUAAGCCUCUGAAACGCCGCAGACAGCGCCGCCGCUCCAAGGCACGUCAAAGCCAUACGAGCAGUAUAGACACUGGAGAAAACGACACCCCGAACAAUGCGGACAACCUCGACGACCCCGACACCGAUGAACAACCACAAAAUAACCACGAGGAGCAUCAGGACCAGCUCGAUCUCGAAUACCUCGACGACUCUGAAGACAGCAACUACCUCCCCCGCUGGAUCAAGAGCGGUGCAAACGAUAGCUAA
RNAcentral lists this ribosomal RNA (336 nucleotides) under Triticum aestivum (bread wheat). RNAcentral describes it as "partial small subunit ribosomal RNA". The record is from RNAcentral. Lineage: Eukaryota; Viridiplantae; Streptophyta; Magnoliopsida; Poales; Poaceae.